Molecule: ribosomal RNA, 1277 nt
Filed under: uncultured bacterium
Lineage: Bacteria
Description: bacterial SSU rRNA
Rfam family: Bacterial small subunit ribosomal RNA
Source: RNAcentral
GGAUAACCUACCUAUAAGACUGGGAUAACUUCGGGAAACCGGAGCUAAUACCGGAUAAUAUUUUGAACCGCAUGGUUCAAAAGUGAAAGACGGUCUUGCUGUCACUUAUAGAUGGAUCCGCGCUGCAUUAGCUAGUUGGUAAGGUAACGGCUUACCAAGGCAACGAUGCAUAGCCGACCUGAGAGGGUGAUCGGCCACACUGGAACUGAGACACGGUCCAGACUCCUACGGGAGGCAGCAGUAGGGAAUCUUCCGCAAUGGGCGAAAGCCUGACGGAGCAACGCCGCGUGAGUGAUGAAGGUCUUCGGAUCGUAAAACUCUGUUAUUAGGGAAGAACAUAUGUGUAAGUAACUGUGCACAUCUUGACGGUACCUAAUCAGAAAGCCACGGCUAACUACGUGCCAGCAGCCGCGGUAAUACGUAGGUGGCAAGCGUUAUCCGGAAUUAUUGGGCGUAAAGCGCGCGUAGGCGGUUUUUUAAGUCUGAUGUGAAAGCCCACGGCUCAACCGUGGAGGGUCAUUGGAAACUGGAAAACUUGAGUGCAGAAGAGGAGAGUGGAAUUCCAUGUGUAGCGGUGAAAUGCGCAGAGAUAUGGAGGAACACCAGUGGCGAAGGCGACUCUCUGGUCUGUAACUGACGCUGAUGUGCGAAAGCGUGGGGAUCAAACAGGAUUAGAUACCCUGGUAGUCCACGCCGUAAACGAUGAGUGCUAAGUGUUAGGGGGUUUCCGCCCCUUAGUGCUGCAGCUAACGCAUUAAGCACUCCGCCUGGGGAGUACGACCGCAAGGUUGAAACUCAAAGGAAUUGACGGGGACCCGCACAAGCGGUGGAGCAUGUGGUUUAAUUCGAAGCAACGCGAAGAACCUUACCAAAUCUUGACAUCCUUUGACAACUCUAGAGAUAGAGCCUUCCCCUUCGGGGGGGCAAAGUGACAGGUGGUGCAUGGUUGUCGUCAGCUCGUGUCGUGAGAUGUUGGGUUAAGUCCCGCAACGAGCGCAACCCUUAAGCUUAGUUGCCAUCAUUAAGUUGGGCACUCUAAGUUGACUGCCGGUGACAAACCGGAGGAAGGUGGGGAUGACGUCAAAUCAUCAUGCCCCUUAUGAUUUGGGCUACACACGUGCUACAAUGGACAAUACAAAGGGCAGCGAAACCGCGAGGUCAAGCAAAUCCCAUAAAGUUGUUCUCAGUUCGGAUUGUAGUCUGCAACUCGACUACAUGAAGCUGGAAUCGCUAGUAAUCGUAGAUCAGCAUGCUACGGUGAAUACGUUCCCGGGUCU